CGGGGAAUAUUGCGCAAUGGGCGAAAGCCUGACGCAGCAACGCCGCGUGAGGGAUGAAGGCUCUCGGGUUGUAAACCUCUUUCAGCAGGGACGAUUGUGACGGUACCUGCAGAAGAAGUCCCGGCCAACUACGUGCCAGCAGCCGCGGUAAUACGUAGGUGGCGAGCGUUGUCCGGAUUUAUUGGGCGUAAAGAGCCCGCAGGCGGCUUGGUAAGUUUUGGGUGAAAUCUCCCGGCUCAACUGGGAGGGCGCCCGGAAAACUACCAGGCUUGAGGCAGGGAGAGGGAUGUGGAAUUCCCGGUGUAGUGGUGAAAUGCGUAGAUAUCGGGAGGAACACCAGUGGCGAAGGCGGCAUCCUGGCCCUGUCCUGACGCUCAGGGGCGAAAGCGUGGGGAGCAAA
Molecule: ribosomal RNA, 400 nt
Filed under: uncultured bacterium
Lineage: Bacteria
Description: bacterial SSU rRNA
Rfam family: Bacterial small subunit ribosomal RNA
Source: RNAcentral